RNAcentral lists this ribosomal RNA (778 nucleotides) under uncultured bacterium. RNAcentral's name for it is "bacterial SSU rRNA". It matches the Rfam family "Bacterial small subunit ribosomal RNA", at positions 24 to 795 of the family's 1533-position model. The record is from RNAcentral.
UCAGGAUGAACGCUAGCGGGAGGCUUAACACAUGCAAGUCGAGGGGCAUCACGAGGUAGCAAUACUUUGGUGGCGACCGGCGCACGGGUGAGUAACGCGUAUGUAACCUACCCUGUACAGGGGGAUAGCCCGGAGAAAUUCGGAUUAAUACCCCAUAAAGAUAUUUUGAGGCAUCUUAAGAUAUUUAAAGUUUCGACGGUACGGGAUGGGCAUGCGUAACAUUAGCUAGUUGGUAAGGUAACGGCUUACCAAGGCGACGAUGUUUAGGGGUCCUGAGAGGGUGAUCCCCCACACUGGUACUGAGACACGGACCAGACUCCUACGGGAGGCAGCAGUGAGGAAUAUUGGUCAAUGGGCGUAAGCCUGAACCAGCCAUCCCGCGUGAAGGAAGAAGGCGCUAUGCGUUGUAAACUUCUUUUCCAGGGGAAGAAAACCCCCGACGUGUCGGGGCUUGUCGGUACCCUGGGAAUAAGCAUCGGCUAACUCCGUGCCAGCAGCCGCGGUAAUACGGAGGAUGCGAGCGUUAUCCGGAUUUAUUGGGUUUAAAGGGUGCGUAGGCGGAUUAAUAAGUCAGUGGUGAAAACCUUCAGCUUAACUGGAGACUUGCCAUUGAUACUGUUAGUCUUGAGUACGGUCAAGGUAGGCGGAAUGUGUAAUGUAGCGGUGAAAUGCUUAGAUAUUACACAGAACACCGAUUGCGAAGGCAGCUUACUGGGCCAUUACUGACGCUGAUGCACGAAAGCGUGGGGAGCGAACAGGAUUAGAUACCCUGGUAGUC